Megalobrama amblycephala (Wuchang bream) is the source of this 310-nucleotide long non-coding RNA. RefSeq lists it as uncharacterized. NCBI's taxonomy places the organism in Eukaryota, Metazoa, Chordata, Actinopteri, Cypriniformes, Xenocyprididae. The transcript has 3 exons. The record is from RefSeq and is a predicted model, not a curated record.
CGGGCGUUCAGGAGGCGGGCGCGUGAAGGCAGAAAUGAAGCAAACCGAGCCAGAGAGUUGAAUUCGCAAGUGGUGCUCAUUUCCAGGUGAUAAAGAAAAACAGCUCGUCUCCUCUGUCGGACAUUACAGUCUCACCUUCCGUCAAACACGUGGCACAACCAUCGAUCCCAUUAUAAUCAACGGAGAUGUUCACACUGCAAGUACGGCUGUGGCAGCUGAUUUUAAAGGUGCUGUAUGUAAUUGUUUUGACUCUACUAAACCACAAAAUACCAUAAUAUUUUUGCAGAGAUUUAGGAAACAUGCUAAGUUC